RNAcentral lists this long non-coding RNA (2555 nucleotides) under Helianthus annuus (common sunflower). RNAcentral describes it as "hypothetical non coding rna". The record is from RNAcentral. Lineage: Eukaryota; Viridiplantae; Streptophyta; Magnoliopsida; Asterales; Asteraceae.
UUAUGAACAAGGUUUGCACAAAAGAAUCGAAAAGCUCCAUGAGAAAAAGCAAAAGAAACAUGAUAAACUUGAGUCGUGAUCAUAAUGUAAAUUUUCCUGAGAUGAAAUCUACUAUUUUCAGUCUUUCCUGAUGAUUAGGGGUGGCAAAAUGGGUGGGUUGGGUAGGUUUGGGUAAUGGGUUAGGAUGGGCAUGGGUUAGAAUGGGUUUGGGUUAAGAUGGGUUUAUUGAGAGAUGGGUUAGAAUGGGUUUAGAUCAAGAUGGGUUUUUGUCAAAAAAAAUCAAAAAAUAAAAAAAAAUAAAAAAAUUCAAAAAAAUUCAAAAAAUUCAAAAAAUUCAAAAAAUUCAAAAAAAUUCAAAAAAAAAAUCAAAAAAUUCAAAAAAAUUCAAAAAAAUUCAAAAAAAUCAAAAAAAAUCAAAAAAUUCAAAAAAAAAUCAAAAAAUUCAAAAAAAAUUCAAAAAAAUAAAAAAAAUUCAAAAAAAAAUCAAAAAAUUCAAAAAAAAUUCAAAAAAAUAAAACAUAUAUUAACCCAGAUGGUUCCAGAUCACCACCCAAAACUUUUAAUAAUAAUGCUUGAUCUAUUGAAUGGUCUUUACUCGAACUGAAUGAACUAACUUCAUCUUCGAACUCAGGAUUAGUCGACAUAAUUUGUCUCCUACAAAUAAAUAAACAAAUAUACUCUAUUAAUCAUUCUCCAUAGAAUCAAUGAUAAUCGACUAAUUCUAAAAGUCAACUUAACAAAAUAACGAUGAGAAAAACAUCUGAGAGAGGCAUAGCUUAACAUAUCGAGUUCAAACAACGUUCUUUAAUCUAUUUCGUCAACUAAUAAAAAAUGACACCAAAACCCCGAGCAACAAAUGAGUAUGAGACAUUACAUCGAGCAUAUGCAAUGCAUCUCAAACCACAAAUAUUCAUCCCCAUCUUAUAUGCAUAUAAUAAAAACAUAUAGAUAUCGAAAACGAUGUUGAUGAACAGAAGGCGGGAAAAUCAAAUUCACUGAUAAAGUUACAAUAACAUAACCAUACACUAAUCUACAUCUACAUUUCACUAUAAAGUAUAUUGCUUUUAACGUCAUACCCAUCUAACAAAUUCUACUGAGACAUUUUAUCGAACACAUGGAGCGCGUCUCAAAUGACCCAACAAAUAAAAAAGAUUCAAUCCCACAUCACAGAAUUCAUGCUUAUAUCUAUAAAACACAUAAAUAAUAUGAAUAAUCUACAUAUUACAAUCAGAAGUGCAAUAAUCAUCUAUAAUCGUUAAAAUUAACAAACAACUGAAAUUACUACUGACACUAAAUCUACAAAAAAAAAAAAAAAAAAAACAAUGCGAAAUUGCAAUUAGAUUUACCUGAUUCAAAACAAAUUGAUAGAAGUAUUGAAUCUGCAACAAUAUAAGGAAAAAUUAGAUUGAUAAAUUGAUUGUUAUAAUCAUUAACGAACUGCUUACAGCUUACGUUUAAUCGCAAAACAAUAAAAGAGACGGUUACAUGUUCAAUAAUCGAACGUAGAUACAGCUUCUCACCGGUCUCCGACGACCAGAUAUGUGGCAGAAUUACUCUAGGGCUUCGAUUGUGAAAGAUUCUUCGGAGACUCGAUCUGAGGAAGACUACAACUAUGGAUUUAAUGGUGGAAGUGAUCUCCGGCGACGCGUGUAUUAGGGUUUUAGAUAGAGUUAAAGUCAAUUUAGGAGUCCUAGUUCAGUAAGUUUCGUAUUGUUGGUAGCUUUAUAAAUAGGGCAUUAUUAAUUGUAAUUUGCAUCCUUUCAAUUUAAUAAAAAGUGUCGCUAAAAGUUUUAGCAAUUCUGUGUGUUGUGAACGAUCUGGGAGAUUUGAGUUCAAAGGCCAGGAGUCAACAUAAAGCUCCCAGAUUGAAUUAGGUUCGAGGCGUUUGAAAGAUUUCAAGAUCAUAAAGGAAUACUACUGACAUUGAGUUGUCCAUUGAGGCACAUCGCAAACAUGGAACGGAUUACAUGACGUAUUAUGUGUUCGUUAGCUAUUACAAAGCAAAGGAUAAAUCAAAAUUCUUGAAAGUAAAUUUAUGAAGCAACGGAUUCCACCCACUUGGCUGAUUAAAAAGACUUGAAAGAAUAGGAUGAAUCAGAAUUCUUGAAAGUAAAUUUACACAUGGUUUUCAAACGACACUUGUACUAUCAAACUAUAUAAAGGUAUAAAAUAAGAACAAUACAAAGCUUAUAAGAAGAGCAAUAGCUGCAUCAAUGGAUAGUGCUGGGAAACCACAAACAAAGUUGCCUGCUCUCUACAUUCUUUCAAGAGGUAGGUCCUGAAAACUGACAAAGAAUGUUACAUACUAUACUUCAACAAGAUUGAGUGAGUUUGGGGAACUAUUUGAAGAUGAUCGUGAUUAUGAUAUUCAAAGUGAAGACGAGAUUGUCGAGGAAGAAAUAUGCGGGGAGGAUAAUUGCAAGGUAGAAAAGACUUCUGAUGUUAAGGCCUUGGAGGUAGUGUGUAUAGUUUCAGUUGAAUUGAGGUAACAUUGUUCAAAAUCGUAAUAGUCAGUAAUAUUUGGUAUUUUUUGUAGGGGUAUAUAGCUAGGUUGG